CUGGCAGGAAGACUGUCACUUAGGAACCUUUUCAGCUCUUACAGAACCAGGAAUACCAAUGCACCAUCAUCUUCAAGUGGACAGGAUUUCUUUCUAAGGAGAAUUAGUGAGGGCAACUUAUCUUCAGCCAGCAUUUUCACAACUGCAUCUUCAAACUACUCCUAUUCCUCAG
Long non-coding RNA from Carassius auratus (goldfish), 172 nucleotides. RefSeq lists it as uncharacterized. NCBI's taxonomy places the organism in Eukaryota, Metazoa, Chordata, Actinopteri, Cypriniformes, Cyprinidae. The record is from RefSeq and is a predicted model, not a curated record. The transcript has 3 exons.